AUUGAACGCUGGCGGCAGGCCUAACACAUGCAAGUCGAGCGGAUGAAGGGAGCUUGCUCCUGGAUUCAGCGGCGGACGGGUGAGUAAUGCCUAGGAAUCUGCCUGGUAGUGGGGGAUAACGUCCGGAAACGGGCGCUAAUACCGCAUACGUCCUGAGGGAGAAAGUGGGGGAUCUUCGGACCUCACGCUAUCAGAUGAGCCUAGGUCGGAUUAGCUAGUUGGUGGGGUAAAGGCCUACCAAGGCGACGAUCCGUAACUGGUCUGAGAGGAUGAUCAGUCACACUGGAACUGAGACACGGUCCAGACUCCUACGGGAGGCAGCAGUGGGGAAUAUUGGACAAUGGGCGAAAGCCUGAUCCAGCCAUGCCGUGUGUGUGAAGAAGGUCUUCGGAUUGUAAAGCACUUUAAGUUGGGAGGAAGGGCAGUAAGUUAAGACCUUGCUGUUUUGACGUUACCAACAGAAUAAGCACCGGCUAACUUCGU
This 483-nucleotide ribosomal RNA is filed under the name uncultured bacterium. RNAcentral's name for it is "partial 16S ribosomal RNA". It matches the Rfam family "Bacterial small subunit ribosomal RNA", at positions 30 to 506 of the family's 1533-position model. The record is from RNAcentral.